This 337-nucleotide small nuclear RNA is filed under the name Ursus americanus (American black bear). Its description in RNAcentral is "7SK RNA (ENSUAMG00000017333.1)". It matches the Rfam family "7SK RNA". Rfam says of the family: 7SK was discovered as an abundant small nuclear RNA in the mid-70s but a possible function has only recently been suggested. Two independent studies have found that 7SK RNA binds the CDK9/cyclin T complex (known as elongation factor P-TEFb). Lineage: Eukaryota; Metazoa; Chordata; Mammalia; Carnivora; Ursidae. The record is from Rfam by way of RNAcentral.
GGGUGUGAGGGCAAUCUAGUUGGACAUCUGAGUCCCCACUGAUGGCCAGAGUUGAUUUGGCUGAUCUGGCUGCCUAGGUGUGUGUCCCCUUCCUCCCUCACUGCUCUGCCCCGCCCUGCCCCGCCCCGCCCCGCCCCGUGUGCCUCCCUCCAGAAGCUGCGUGAUUGGUGAAAGAGGACCGUCCUUUGGUGAAGGGUAUAUGAGUAGCUGUGCUCCCCUGCUAGAACCUCCAAAUAAAUUCUCAAGGUCCAUUUGUAGGAGAACAUAGGGUAGUCACUCUUUCAAGACUCCAGACACAUCCAAAUGAGGGGCUGGAUGUGGCAGUCUGCCUUUGUUU